Molecule: ribosomal RNA, 530 nt
Filed under: uncultured bacterium
Lineage: Bacteria
Description: partial 16S ribosomal RNA
Rfam family: Bacterial small subunit ribosomal RNA
Source: RNAcentral
UGGGGAAUUUUGGACAAUGGGCGAAAGCCUGAUCCAGCCAUGCCGCGUGCAGGAUGAAGGCCUUCGGGUUGUAAACUGCUUUUGUACGGAACGAAAAGACUCUGGUUAAUACCUGGGGUCCAUGACGGUACCGUAAGAAUAAGCACCGGCUAACUACGUGCCAGCAGCCGCGGUAAUACGUAGGGUGCAAGCGUUAAUCGGAAUUACUGGGCGUAAAGCGUGCGCAGGCGGUUAUAUAAGACAGAUGUGAAAUCCCCGGGCUCAACCUGGGAACUGCAUUUGUGACUGUAUAGCUAGAGUACGGCAGAGGGGGAUGGAAUUCCGCGUGUAGCAGUGAAAUGCGUAGAUAUGCGGAGGAACACCGAUGGCGAAGGCAAUCCCCUGGGCCUGUACUGACGCUCAUGCACGAAAAGCGUGGGGAGCAAACAGGAUUAGAUACCCUGGUAGUCCACGCCCCUAAAACGAUGUCAACUGGUUGUUGGGGUCUUCACUGACUCAGUAACGAAGCUAACGCGUGAAGUUGACCGCCU